AGUCGAGCGCGAAAACACUUCGGUGUGAGUAGAGCGGCGGACGGGUGAGUAAUGCUUGGGAAUCUGCCCAGUAGUGGGGGAUAACGUGUGGAAACGCACGCUAAUACCGCAUACGUCCUACGGGAGAAAGCAGGGGAUCUUCGGACCUUGCGCUAUUGGAUGAGCCCAAGUCGGAUUAGCUAGUUGGUGGGGUAAUGGCCUACCAAGGCGACGAUCCGUAGCUGGUCUGAGAGGAUGAUCAGCCACACUGGGACUGAGACACGGCCCAGACUCCUACGGGAGGCAGCAGUGGGGAAUAUUGCACAAUGGGCGAAAGCCUGAUGCAGCCAUGCCGCGUGUGUGAAGAAGGCUCUAGGGUUGUAAAGCACUUUCAGUAGGGAGGAAAAGCUUAAGGUUAAUAACCUUGAGCCCUGACGUUACCUACAGAAGAAGCACCGGCAAACUCCGUGCCAGCAGCCGCGGUAAUACGGAGGGUGCGAGCGUUAAUCGGAAUUACUGGGCGUAAGGCGCGCGUAGGUGGUUUGAUAAGCUAGCUGUGA
RNAcentral lists this ribosomal RNA (539 nucleotides) under uncultured bacterium. RNAcentral describes it as "bacterial SSU rRNA". It matches the Rfam family "Bacterial small subunit ribosomal RNA", at positions 60 to 597 of the family's 1533-position model. The record is from RNAcentral.